GACGAACGCUGGCGGCGUGCUUAACACAUGCAAGUCGAACGGAAAGGCCUGCUUUCCCUUGUGGAUUGCGGGUACUCGAGUGGCGAACGGGUGAGUAACACGUGAGUGAUCUGCCCCCAACUUGGGUAUAAGCCUGGGAAACUGGGUCUAAUUCCCGAUAGGACUGCAGGGUGGUGCCUGUGGUGGAAAACGAUUUUCUAGUGGUUGGGGAUGAGCUCGCGGCCUAUCAGCUUGUUGGUGGGGUAAUGGCCUACCAAGGCGGCGACGGGUAGCCGGCCUGAGAGGGUGGACGGCCACAUUGGGACUGAGAUACGGCCCAGAAUCCUACGGGAGGCAGCAGUGGGGAAUAUGGCACAAUGGGCGGAAGCCUGAUGCAGCGACGCCGCGUGGGGGAUGACGGCCUUCGGGUUGUAAACUCCUUUCGACCGCGAGGAAGCCACCUGGUUGGAAGGGUGGUGACGGUAGUGGUAGAAGAAGCACCGGCUAACUACGUG
Molecule: ribosomal RNA, 494 nt
Filed under: uncultured bacterium
Lineage: Bacteria
Description: partial 16S ribosomal RNA
Rfam family: Bacterial small subunit ribosomal RNA
Source: RNAcentral